This 631-nucleotide ribosomal RNA is filed under the name uncultured bacterium. RNAcentral's name for it is "bacterial SSU rRNA". It matches the Rfam family "Bacterial small subunit ribosomal RNA", at positions 338 to 1434 of the family's 1533-position model. The record is from RNAcentral.
CCUACGGGAGGCAGCAGUGGGGAAUUUUGGACAAUGGGCGCAAGCCUGAUCCAGCCAUGCCGCGUGCGGGAAGAAGGCCUUCGGGUUGUAAACCGCUUUUGUCAGGGAAGAAACGCUUUGGGCUAAUACCCUAGGGUAAUGACGGUACCUGAAGAAUAAGCACCGGCUAACUACGUGCCAGCAGCCGCGGUAAUACGUAGGGUGCAAGCGUUAAUCGGAAUUACUGGGCGUAAAGCGUGCGCAGGCGGCUAUGCAAGACAGAUGUGAAAUCCCCGGGCUCAACCUGGGAACUGCAUUUGUGACUGCAUAGCUAGAGUACGGUAGAGGGGGAUGGAAUUCCGCGUGUAGCAGUGAAAUGCGUAGAUAUGCGGAGGAACACCGAUGGCGAAGGCAAUCCCCUGGACCUGUACUGACGCUCAUGCACGAAAGCGUGGGGAGCAAACAGGAUUAGAUACCCUGGUAGUCCACGCCCUAAACGAUGUCAACUGGUUGUUGGGAGGGUUUCUUCUCAGUAACGUAGCUAACGCGUGAAGUUGACCGCCUGGGGAGUACGGCCGCAAGGUUGAAACUUACAAAGNGUAAGUUGGACGGUCGUGACGACGUCGACCGAGGCACGACGGAGGGAGUUAGG